AUCUUGAACGCAGGUUAUAGUUUAGAAAAGCGUUGCGUGUGUUUAUUUUGAUAGUGCAGCCUACUAAAUCAAGCCAAUAUACAGGUGCUGAAAGGAUGUGAAAAAUGUGUCUUAUACUGUACAUUUUGCUGGAAUGGGGGAAUCAGCAGGAAUUUUGUGCAGUCAGUAAAUCUACAUAAUCACUCUGGGAAAAUGACCAAACACAUGGGAUGUAUUUAGGGAUAAACAUGAACAUUUUGCUUAGGAUCUUAAAAAGUCAACUUAAUUAAGUCAGCGUUCGAAGUGCUCAGAAAACAUAACCCAUAGAGGUACGAUGUGUUCUCACUAUUCUCUCAAAGUUGGUAAUAGUUUUCAUUUUGUGUCAGGUCAUUUUAAUAAUUUCCUUUCUGAUUUUACGCAGAUAUUACAUUGUAUUUAUCCAGUGGAAAACAAUCAAGCAACUGUACCAGAAAUAAAAAUACAGUCAGGUUUAAAGGGGAACUGACACUAUUUUUUGCAAACCCAAUACCUAGCUAAACGUUAACUGUGCAUUGUGAAUUUUUUUUAAUGCACUUUUACAAUACAAUGGCCGGUGAUACAUUACAUUUACAAUACGAUUGAGAUCAUGGCCAGUUGUGCGGGAGCCUUCUGAGCAGAUACCCAAGUGCAUGAGUCUGGAUCUGUAAAAGACAACAGUCAUCUCACUUUUUAAAUUGAUUGAUUGAUUGUUUCCAGAAAAUGUCACUUUUAAUCUGCCUGAACAGCCAUGUUGGCUCAUGCUCUACUGUUAUCUAACCAACUGCUGCUCAAACUACCGUAUUUUUUGCU
Pelobates cultripes (western spadefoot toad) is the source of this 807-nucleotide non-coding RNA. Lineage: Eukaryota; Metazoa; Chordata; Amphibia; Anura; Pelobatidae. The record is from the annotation of a GenBank genome assembly.